Vidua chalybeata is the source of this 1066-nucleotide long non-coding RNA. RefSeq lists it as uncharacterized. The record is from RefSeq and is a predicted model, not a curated record. NCBI's taxonomy places the organism in Eukaryota, Metazoa, Chordata, Aves, Passeriformes, Viduidae. The transcript has 3 exons.
CACCCGCACAGUAACAGCUCCAGACAGGGCCUGGCUGUGGGCCUGGCUUCCAGCCCAUUUCCUUGCACGGAGCUUUUUCCAUCACUAUCAGUGGAUGAAUCCAUCAAACUGCACCACGCCGCAGUCACAAUGCCACGGGGUUUGGAGGGCCAUGUCCAGUCAUUGUUUCUCCCAGGGGAAAAUGAGAGGUCAGGAAUCCAGCCCCGUGCAGAGGAUCCUCGAGGCCCGUGUGCCGUUGAGGCCCUUCAAACACGCUUUGAAUGCUUUUUCAGAGAGGCUCAGCAGUGGUGCUCAGCACCUGUGUAGCCAUAAAGUCACAUAAACCUCCCAAACAUCUCUUCUGUCCCUUUCAUCCAUCAUUUCCAGAGGCUCUGUCUGUGUGAGGUUUGACACUGGCUGCUCAGUACUGAAAGGUGGAGCAGCCCAUGGAGAGUGAUCCAUACUUUUAUCACACUCCGUAAGUGGUGACCUUGCAGCAGUAAAUGCUCUCCAAAGGGCUCUGAGCUGAGUUUCUUCUGCACUUCCCACAAAUUUCAGGGCGCAGAUUUCCCACAGACGAAAUGGGAGUAUGGUGCCAGUUAAGGGAAAAGUUCAACACAAACAUCUCCUUGGUUUUCUAAGAUCCGUGGGCUGAGGUGUGCCACCUGCCAGGUGGAAACGCAGACCAGAAAAAUCACAGCGAGUUCCUAGAAAGAAGGAACAGACCAGGAGCAGACCCGGAGGAGGUGUCACACCUGCCAAGCCACCCAGCCAGGAGGAAAGUUGGCUUUGGACUCUCAGAAAGGUAGAAAGACAAAACAAAUUCCAGAGUUCCAAGGCCUGGGGGAUACAUGGCCCUUGUGCUAUCUUGGUUCUUCCUGGGAGUCAAGGAUGAAAACAACUCUUGGAGAUAUAUUUCAUGGACAAAGCACAGCCAGUGCUGAAGUGGGGCUCCAGAGAAGAGGCUUGACCUGGGGGCGAAUUGCAUCACCACUUGUCCUCCUAAUUGCUUUUUAUCAAAUAUGCUAAUUUCCUAAAACCUGUAAAAAUGCACUCACCCUUGUGGGGAUGGCCUUUUGUGGACAUC